RNAcentral lists this microRNA precursor (102 nucleotides) under Ovis aries (sheep). RNAcentral describes it as "miRNA (ENSOARG00000024474.1)". The record is from RNAcentral. Lineage: Eukaryota; Metazoa; Chordata; Mammalia; Artiodactyla; Bovidae.
AAUGCAAAUUCUCAGGCCCAUUCCACCCCAGUGAAUCCAAAUUCUGGGGUGGAGCCCAGUAAUCUGCAUUUUAACAAGCCCUCCAUGUGACUUUUGCACAGU